This 181-nucleotide small RNA is filed under the name Phytopseudomonas argentinensis. Its description in RNAcentral is "Pseudomonas argentinensis Pseudomonas sRNA P1". Lineage: Bacteria; Pseudomonadati; Pseudomonadota; Gammaproteobacteria; Pseudomonadales; Pseudomonadaceae. The record is from RNAcentral.
ACACCCGUAUUGUUGGAUUAUUUGGGGUUUGUCCCGAGCUUAUCCUUGUUCAUUUUUUUACACAACCCGGCGAUCUCAGCCGGGAAAGUCGGCUGAGCACCACCGGAAACGCUGCAACAGCUUUCGCUGGAAAUGCCCUGAAACGCCCUAGAAAUGGCCACCGCGCAUCCAAUUGGGGCAG